AACAAACGCUGGCGGCGUGCCUAAUACAUGCAAGUCGAACGAGGAAGUCCCUUCGGGGAUUGUACUAGUGGCGUACGGGUGAGUAACGCGUGGAUAAUCUUCCUUAAGAUGGGGAAUAACCAGUCGAAAGAUUGGCUAAUACCGCAUAAGACCACAAGGUCCUUGGACCAAGGGGUUAAAGUCUUACGACGUCUUAAGAUGAGUCUGCGCCCGAUUAGCUAGUUGGUGAGGUAAUGGCUCACCAAGGCGA
This 250-nucleotide ribosomal RNA is filed under the name uncultured bacterium. RNAcentral's name for it is "partial 16S ribosomal RNA". It matches the Rfam family "Bacterial small subunit ribosomal RNA", at positions 29 to 276 of the family's 1533-position model. The record is from RNAcentral.